This 158-nucleotide non-coding RNA is filed under the name Alphaproteobacteria bacterium. RNAcentral describes it as "6S RNA". It matches the Rfam family "6S / SsrS RNA". Rfam says of the family: E. coli 6S RNA was the first non coding RNA to be sequenced, but its function was unknown until recently. It consists of 184 nucleotides that fold into an extended hairpin structure with a large single-stranded internal bulge. The 6S RNA specifically associates with RNA polymerase holoenzyme containing the sigma70 specificity factor. Lineage: Bacteria; Pseudomonadati; Pseudomonadota; Alphaproteobacteria. The record is from RNAcentral.
UGAGGGCUGCCCGAUGCGUCAGAAUAUACAUCGCUUGGGGCCUUACGUUCUUCUAGGGAGCUGUCCCUGUGCUCGACCGUGGUCUUGCGUAAACGGCGCCCACCUACACUUGUAGGUCUCCGAGGAAAACAUCAUUCAACGGUCUGGGUGGCUCUCAC